This 202-nucleotide ribosomal RNA is filed under the name uncultured bacterium. RNAcentral's name for it is "partial 16S rRNA". It matches the Rfam family "Bacterial small subunit ribosomal RNA", at positions 306 to 502 of the family's 1533-position model. The record is from RNAcentral.
AGCCACACUGGAACUGAGACACGGUCCAGACUCCUACGGGAGGCAGCAGUGGGGAAUAUUGGACAAUGGGCGCAAGCCUGAUCCAGCCAUGCCGCGUGUGUGAAGAAGGCCUUCGGGUUGUAAAGCACUUUCAGCGAGGAGGAAGGGUGUUGUGUUAAUAGCACAGCAUUUUGACGUACUCGCAGAAGAAGCACCGCUAACU